AUAUCUCAGGCUCUCUGUGUCUCCAUCCCUUCUCUGAGUAGCUGUGCACGGCCUAGGACUGCCAAUGAGACUCCGAUCUGUCAUCUGUCCUAGGCGCUUCAGCUGUUCGCCUAUCCGAGACUUCCAUAGCAGCACAUGACAGCGCUAGGUCGGAGCAGGCCUGUAGCAGAGCAGCUUAUGGGGUAGAAACAUCCGAACAGAGAUGUUUCUAGCUUCCUCUUCACAAUUCAGUACCCGUCGCACUGGUACUCUAGUCUGUUAAUGUCCAUUCACAAUUCAGUGAAUCAUCUCAUAGAACCAAAGGUCGAUUGCUAAGUGACUAACUUAAAUAAUUGUGAUGUUAUUUGUUUAUCUUAUGAAUAAUCUCCUUUUAUCUUGUAUUGAAUAAUCUCUUUUUUUAUCUUCAUCUGAAUAAUUUUAUGAUCUAGCUGGUACUCGUCAGGAUAAAUUCAAGUUAGUGGAGAUGUAAUGAAACUAUGAAAGUACAUUUAUUUUGUAUUACCAGACAAAUGAUGUACCAUUUUGCCAAACGCGU
RNAcentral lists this long non-coding RNA (535 nucleotides) under Sorghum bicolor (sorghum). RNAcentral describes it as "long non-coding RNA (SBIC_LNC015130)". The record is from RNAcentral. Lineage: Eukaryota; Viridiplantae; Streptophyta; Magnoliopsida; Poales; Poaceae.